This 464-nucleotide ribosomal RNA is filed under the name uncultured bacterium. Its description in RNAcentral is "partial 16S ribosomal RNA". It matches the Rfam family "Bacterial small subunit ribosomal RNA", at positions 338 to 795 of the family's 1533-position model. The record is from RNAcentral.
CCUACGGGAGGCAGCAGUAGGGAAUAUUCGUCAAUGGGCGCAAGCCUGAACGAGCAAUGCCGCGUGAACGAGGAAGGUCUUCGGAACGUAAAGUUCUGUUGACGGGGAAAAAGAGCGGAGAGAGGAAAUGAUUUCGGAUGGAUAUUACCGUUCGAGGAAGUGAGGGCUAACGACGGGCCAGAAGCCGCGGUAAUACGUAGGGGGGGAGCGUUAGCCGGGAUGCUUGGGCGUAGGGGGUGCGUAGGCGGCCUGCUAAGUCGGGCGUGAAAGGGACCGGCUGCACCGGUACCGGCUCUGGAAACUGGCGGGCUAGAGUGCAGGAGAGGUCGGUGGAACUCCUUGUGUAGCGGUCAAAUGCGUAGAUAUUUGGAAGAACACCAGUGGCGAAGGCGGCCGCCUGGCCUGUUACUGACGCUGAGGCACGAAAGCGUGGGGAGCAAAUAGGAUUAGCUACCCCGGUAGUC